Danio rerio (zebrafish) is the source of this 1683-nucleotide non-coding RNA. The record is from RefSeq and is a predicted model, not a curated record. NCBI's taxonomy places the organism in Eukaryota, Metazoa, Chordata, Actinopteri, Cypriniformes, Danionidae.
UAUUACUUUACUUCAGUUAUUUUUGCAGUAAAUGUUGUUAGUUUCGUUUAGUUUUAGUUCUUCAUUAAUUGUGAAUUAUUUAUUUUAUUUCAGUUAACGAAAAUGGAGGUUGACCCUGGAGUUUUAGACUUAUAGUUUCAGUUUUCGUUUACAAAAAUAACCUAGCAACCAAGGCCUGGGCUUGUUGUAACCUACCACAAAAGCUGAAGGCCAGUUGUUCAUAGUGAAACAGUGAAAUUGCUGAACCCUUUACGACGUGACUCAUAGAGUGAAAUAUUAUUGUCACCUAAAAGUCGAGUUGUUUGGCCGGUAAACUGAGGUGUGAAGCAGCAGGGUGUGACCGGUCCCUUCCCGCGGUCUCAAACUCUUGCUCGGCCACUGACCGGCCGGUUUUCCAGUCUCUGUCGUCGAGCUCGUGUCCUUAUUUGGCUCUGGUUGAGUGAAUGGAGAACAGAGAGAGUUUCCUCCUGACUGUGACUCACUGGUGACUCACGCGCAUGCUAACAAAACACUGCGUCGCCAUGGGGACGUGCGCCGACUCCCGCCCUUCGGCCAGUUCCCGCCAUUCACCACCGAGAGUAUGGCAGACAGAAGGAGAGCUUCAGAGAACAUGGUGGGGAUCCUGUCCGUCAUUGCUGUGAUGAUGAACCACAUCUGCGGUUUCUCUGCAAGCAAGUGUGAACUUGAGGAAUUCAUGCAACCACUAAAACUCUUGCCGCAGGUCCUUCAGUCUUAAGCACAUUUCUCAGGGACUACAUGAGGGUGUGAUGGAUGCAAAGACAAUUCCUGUAGUGUCUCAGAAUGACUGAACGUCUGCAGUUGACAUGAAAAAGCGAACGAAAGUGAGGUGUGAAUGGAGGAGGGUUUCUGUGACAUAUGAGGAAAUUGAGAAAACGGAAGAAAUAUGGGGGAAAAUACCUCACGGGAUGAAAGCGGGAAAGAACUGUAAAAUACGGGAGAAUCCCAGGAAAAACAGGAGGGUUCACAGGUAUGCCUAAGUUAGAAGCAACCGUCUGCCAUUACAGUUUUGAAUCUGCCACUAUGCUGACACAUAGGCGUUUAUAGCUCCACCCUCUUUUGAAAAGAGCUCAAUCUCAUUUAAAUUUAAAGUGACCAGAAUGACACUAUUUGGAUCAAAGCCUUAAAGGGGCCGUUUUAAAAAGUUAUUAAACAUUAUUUGUGUCUUAUUUCAAGCUGAAGCUUCACAAACACACUCCAGGGACAUCAGAGACUUAUUUUACAACUUGUAAAAAGGACAUAAUAGGUCCCCUUUAACUUGCAGCACAUUUGAGCUCUCUCAGCCACCGUAAUAAAUUGACAACCAGUCAAAAUAUCCAAGAAAAUGUUAACAACCUAUGCUGUAUAUUUAUAGUCAACUUCAGAUGAGUCAAGAAGUUAAUAUUUGUCAGAUUUCCCAGCUUUCCCACUAUUCCAGCAAAUGAAAACAUUUGUUAUUUAGACAAAGCAGGUCAAAUCAAAUGUAAAUGUUAGGAUUUCUAUUGUUUUAAAUGUGAAAGAAGUGUUCCUAAUCUUUUAUAGCACUGUGUCCUAACCCUGUUCCUAAAGGCACACCAACAGUACACAUUUUCCACCUCUUUCUAAUUAAACACACCUGAAUCAACUCAUCAGAGUAUUAGAAAAGACUUCAAAACCUGAAGUGAAUGGGUCAGAUAAGGGAGACAU